CAUCAAGUAGCUCAAAAGGUAGAGCGUCUGGCUCGACACCAGAAGGUUGCGGGUUCAAUUCCCGUCUCGACUG
This 73-nucleotide transfer RNA is filed under the name Propionibacteriaceae bacterium. RNAcentral describes it as "tRNA-Ser". It matches the Rfam family "tRNA". From Rfam's summary of the family: Transfer RNA (tRNA) molecules are approximately 80 nucleotides in length. Their secondary structure includes four short double-helical elements and three loops (D, anti-codon, and T loops). Further hydrogen bonds mediate the characteristic L-shaped molecular structure. tRNAs have two regions of fundamental functional importance: the anti-codon, which is responsible for specific mRNA codon recognition, and the 3' end, to which the tRNAs corresponding amino acid is attached (by aminoacyl-tRNA synthetases). tRNAs cope with the degeneracy of the genetic code in two manners: having more than one tRNA (with a specific anti-codon) for a particular amino acid; and 'wobble' base-pairing, i.e. permitting non-standard base-pairing at the 3rd anti-codon position. The record is from RNAcentral. Lineage: Bacteria; Bacillati; Actinomycetota; Actinomycetes; Propionibacteriales; Propionibacteriaceae.